RNAcentral lists this long non-coding RNA (261 nucleotides) under Rattus norvegicus (Norway rat). Its description in RNAcentral is "long non-coding RNA NONRATT003065". The record is from RNAcentral. Lineage: Eukaryota; Metazoa; Chordata; Mammalia; Rodentia; Muridae.
GGAAGUAGGAAGGACUGCUCUCCCUGCCCAGAGAUGGGUCCUGUGCUUCCUGCCUGUUUAAAUGUCAGGAUCCCGAAAACCUCUUUUCAAAAGGAUAAACUCCUGUGGGUGGAAUUUGUGGUCUAGGAGGCCGAACAGAGACUUCUGAAUGAGUUUCCUCUCGUCUGACCCAACCCUCUAGUUCACACCUGAUUGGCUGCUUAAAUGGGAUGAAGGAAAGAGAGGAGAACAGUUUUUAAAUAAAUACUUAUUUUAAGUGUA